RNAcentral lists this ribosomal RNA (825 nucleotides) under uncultured Algibacter sp. Its description in RNAcentral is "bacterial SSU rRNA". It matches the Rfam family "Bacterial small subunit ribosomal RNA", at positions 27 to 854 of the family's 1533-position model. The record is from RNAcentral. Lineage: Bacteria; Pseudomonadati; Bacteroidota; Flavobacteriia; Flavobacteriales; Flavobacteriaceae.
GGAUGAACGCUAGCGGCAGGCCUAACACAUGCAAGUCGAGGGGUAACAUUGGUGCUUGCACCAGAUGACGACCGGCGCACGGGUGCGUAACGCGUAUACAAUCUACCUUUUGCUAAGGGAUAGCCCAGAGAAAUUUGGAUUAAUACCUUAUAGUAUGCAGACUUCUCAUGGAGAUUGCAUUAAAGAUUACGGCAAAAGAUGAGUAUGCGUCCUAUUAGUUUGUUGGUGUGGUAACGGCACACCAAGACUACGAUAGGUAGGGGCCCUGAGAGGGGGAUCCCCCACACUGGUACUGAGACACGGACCAGACUCCUACGGGAGGCAGCAGUGAGGAAUAUUGGACAAUGGAGGCAACUCUGAUCCAGCCAUGCCGCGUGCAGGAAGACUGCCCUAUGGGUUGUAAACUGCUUUUAUACAGGAAGAAACACUCCCUCGUGAGGGAGCUUGACGGUACUGUAAGAAUAAGGAUCGGCUAACUCCGUGCCAGCAGCCGCGGUAAUACGGAGGAUCCAAGCGUUAUCCGGAAUCAUUGGGUUUAAAGGGUCCGUAGGUGGAUAAUUAAGUCAGAGGUGAAAGUUUGCAGCUCAACUGUAAAAUUGCCUUUGAUACUGGUUAUCUUGAGUUAUUGUGAAGUAGUUAGAAUAUGUAGUGUAGCGGUGAAAUGCAUAGAUAUUACAUAGAAUACCAAUUGCGAAGGCAGAUUACUAACAAUAUACUGACACUGAUGGACGAAAGCGUGGGUAGCGAACAGGAUUAGAUACCCUGGUAGUCCACGCCGUAAACGAUGGAUACUAGCUGUUGGGCUUCGGCUCAGUGGCUAAGCGA